RNAcentral lists this transfer RNA (72 nucleotides) under Danio rerio (zebrafish). It matches the Rfam family "tRNA". Rfam says of the family: Transfer RNA (tRNA) molecules are approximately 80 nucleotides in length. Their secondary structure includes four short double-helical elements and three loops (D, anti-codon, and T loops). Lineage: Eukaryota; Metazoa; Chordata; Actinopteri; Cypriniformes; Danionidae. The record is from Rfam by way of RNAcentral.
GGCUCGUUGGGGUAGGGGUAUGAUUCUCGCUUUGGGUGUGAGAGGUCCCGGGUUCAAAUCCCGGACGAGCCC